CAGAAUCAUGCAAACAGUAUUUUGAGACCGAAACUCCCGAAUCUGAUGAGGGUCCCGCAUCAUGGUAACAUUAAGAGUGAACAACUGCUGUGAGUGCUUUGGCCUGCGGUCUGGCAGUCUGUACAUUGCAAUCACAUACAUGGUUAUAGGGAUCCUCAACAUUGUUCUAUCAUUAAUUGGUCUGGCUAGCGCAGGGGGAGAAGCCGCAAAGUACGGUCGCAUCACAGCUGAUGGACUGUUAGUCAUCCUGUGUAUACUCCUCCUCAUAGGAGUA
This is a long non-coding RNA of Branchiostoma belcheri (Belcher's lancelet), 274 nucleotides long. RefSeq lists it as uncharacterized. The record is from RefSeq and is a predicted model, not a curated record. Lineage: Eukaryota; Metazoa; Chordata; Leptocardii; Amphioxiformes; Branchiostomatidae. The transcript has 3 exons.